CAAGUCGAACGCGAAAGCCCCGCUAGGGGUUAGUAGAGUGGCAAACGGGUGAGUAACACGUGGGUGACCUGCCUCAGAGUGGGGGAUAACGUUCCGAAAGGAGCGCUAAUACCGCAUAACAUCCUGCGUUUGGAAACGCAGACAUCAAAGCCGGGGAUCGCAAGACCUGGCGCUCAGAGAGGGGCCCGCGGCCGAUUAGCUAGUUGGUGGGGUAAUGGCUCACCAAGGCGACGAUCGGUAUCCGGCCUGAGAGGGCGGACGGACACACUGGGACUGAGACACGGCCCAGACUCCUACGGGAGGCAGCAGUGGGGAAUUGUUCGCAAUGGGCGCAAGCCUGACGACGCAACGCCGCGUGGAGGACGAAGAUCUUCGGGUCGUAAACUCCUUUCGAUCGGGAAGAACGCUUUCGGAGUGAAUACCUCCGGAGGGUGACGGUACCGAGAGAAGAAGCCCCGGCUAACUCCGUGCCAGCAGCCGCGGUAAUACGGGGGGGGCAAGCGUUGUUCGGAAUUACUGGGCGUAAAGGGCGUGUAGGCGGCCAACUAAGUCCGACGUGAAAUCCCCAGGCUUAACCUGGGAACUGCGUCGGAUACUGGAUGGCUUGAAUCCGGGAGAGGGAUGCAGAAUUCCAGGUGUAGCGGUGAAAUGCGUAGAUAUCUGGAGGAAUACCGGUGGCGAAGGCGGCAUCCUGGACCGGCAUUGACGCUGAAGCGCGAAAGCUAGGGGAGCAAACGGGAUUAGAUACCCCGGUAGUCCUAGCCCUAAACGAUGAAUGCUUGGUGUGGCGGGUAUCGAU
RNAcentral lists this ribosomal RNA (799 nucleotides) under uncultured Pseudomonadota bacterium. RNAcentral describes it as "bacterial SSU rRNA". It matches the Rfam family "Bacterial small subunit ribosomal RNA", at positions 58 to 836 of the family's 1533-position model. Lineage: Bacteria; Pseudomonadati; Pseudomonadota. The record is from RNAcentral.